GACGAACGCUGGCGGCGUGCUUAACACAUGCAAGUCGAACGGAAAGGCCCUGCUUGCAGGGUACUCGAGUGGCGAACGGGUGAGUAACACGUGGGUGAUCUGCCCUGCACUUCGGGAUAAGCUUGGGAAACUGGGUCUAAUACCGGAUAGGACCGCACUUUAGUGUGUGUGGUGGAAAGUUUUUUCGGUGUAGGAUGAGCUCGCGGCCUAUCAGCUUGUUGGUGGGGUAAUGGCCUACCAAGGCGGCGACGGGUAGCCGGCCUGAGAGGGUGUACGGCCACAUUGGGACUGAGAUACGGCCCAGACUCCUACGGGAGGCAGCAGUGGGGAAUAUUGCACAAUGGGCGCAAGCCUGAUGCAGCGACGCCGCGUGGGGGAUGAAGGCCUUCGGGUUGUAAACUCCUUUCGCUAGGGACGAAGCGUUGUUGUGACGGUACCUAGAGAAGAAGCACCGGCUAACUACGUG
Molecule: ribosomal RNA, 466 nt
Filed under: uncultured bacterium
Lineage: Bacteria
Description: partial 16S ribosomal RNA
Rfam family: Bacterial small subunit ribosomal RNA
Source: RNAcentral